RNAcentral lists this ribosomal RNA (2126 nucleotides) under Salmonella enterica subsp. enterica serovar Virchow. RNAcentral's name for it is "partial 23S ribosomal RNA". It matches the Rfam family "Bacterial large subunit ribosomal RNA", at positions 1 to 2141 of the family's 2925-position model. Lineage: Bacteria; Pseudomonadati; Pseudomonadota; Gammaproteobacteria; Enterobacterales; Enterobacteriaceae. The record is from RNAcentral.
GGGUUGUGAGGUUAAGCGACUAAGCGUACACGGUGGAUGCCCUGGCAGUCAGAGGCGAUGAAGGGCGUGCUAAUCUGCGAUAAGCGCCGGUAAGGUGAUAUGAACCGUUAUAACCGGCGAUACCCGAAUGGGGAAACCCAGUGUGAUUCGUCACACUAUCAUUAACUGAAUCCAUAGGUUAAUGAGGCGAACCGGGGGAACUGAAACAUCUAAGUACCCCGAGGAAAAGAAAUCAACCGAGAUUCCCCCAGUAGCGGCGAGCGAACGGGGAGGAGCCCAGAGCCUGAAUCAGCAUGUGUGUUAGUGGAAGCGUCUGGAAAGGCGCGCGAUACAGGGUGACAGCCCCGUACACAAAAGCGCAUGUGCUGUGAGCUCGAUGAGUAGGGCGGGACACGUGGUAUCCUGUCUGAAUAUGGGGGGACCAUCCUCCAAGGCUAAAUACUCCUGACUGACCGAUAGUGAACCAGUACCGUGAGGGAAAGGCGAAAAGAACCCCGGCGAGGGGAGUGAAAAAGAACCUGAAACCGUGUACGUACAAGCAGUGGGAGCACCCUUUGGGGUGUGACUGCGUACCUUUUGUAUAAUGGGUCAGCGACUUAUAUUCUGUAGCAAGGUUAACCGUAUAGGGGAGCCGUAGGGAAACCGAGUCUUAACCGGGCGUUAAGUUGCAGGGUAUAGACCCGAAACCCGGUGAUCUAGCCAUGGGCAGGUUGAAGGUUGGGUAACACUAACUGGAGGACCGAACCGACUAAUGUUGAAAAAUUAGCGGAUGACCUGUGGCUGGGGGUGAAAGGCCAAUCAAACCGGGAGAUAGCUGGUUCUCCCCGAAAGCUAUUUAGGUAGCGCCUCGUGAAUUCAUCUCCGGGGGUAGAGCACUGUUUCGGCUAGGGGGCCAUCCCGGCUUACCAACCCGAUGCAAACUGCGAAUACCGGAGAAUGUUAUCACGGGAGACACACGGCGGGUGCUAACGUCCGUCGUGAAGAGGGAAACAACCCAGACCGCCAGCUAAGGUCCCAAAGUCAUGGUUAAGUGGGAAACGAUGUGGGAAGGCCCAGACAGCCAGGAUGUUGGCUUAGAAGCAGCCAUCAUUUAAAGAAAGCGUAAUAGCUCACUGGUCGAGUCGGCCUGCGCGGAAGAUGUAACGGGGCUAAACCAUGCACCGAAGCUGCGGCAGCGACGCUGAUGCGUUGUUGGGUAGGGGAGCGUUCUGUAAGCCUGUGAAGGUGGCCUGUGAGGGUUGCUGGAGGUAUCAGAAGUGCGAAUGCUGACAUAAGUAACGAUAAAGCGGGUGAAAAGCCCGCUCGCCGGAAGACCAAGGGUUCCUGUCCAACGUUAAUCGGGGCAGGGUGAGUCGACCCCUAAGGCGAGGCCGAAAGGCGUAGUCGAUGGGAAACGGGUUAAUAUUCCCGUACUUGGUGUUACUGCGAAGGGGGGACGGAGAAGGCUAUGUUGGCCGGGCGACGGUUGUCCCGGUUUAAGCGUGUAGGUGUGUGUUCCAGGUAAAUCCGGUUCACUUUAACACUGAGGCGUGACGACGAGGCACUACGGUGCUGAAGCAACAAAUGCCCUGCUUCCAGGAAAAGCCUCUAAGCAUCAGGUAACAUCAAAUCGUACCCCAAACCGACACAGGUGGUCAGGUAGAGAAUACCAAGGCGCUUGAGAGAACUCGGGUGAAGGAACUAGGCAAAAUGGUGCCGUAACUUCGGGAGAAGGCACGCUGACACGUAGGUGAAGUGAUUUACUCAUGGAGCUGAAGUCAGUCGAAGAUACCAGCUGGCUGCAACUGUUUAUUAAAAACACAGCACUGUGCAAACACGAAAGUGGACGUAUACGGUGUGACGCCUGCCCGGUGCCGGAAGGUUAAUUGAUGGGGUCAGCGCAAGCGAAGCUCCUGAUCGAAGCCCCGGUAAACGGCGGCCGUAACUAUAACGGUCCUAAGGUAGCGAAAUUCCUUGUCGGGUAAGUUCCGACCUGCACGAAUGGCGUAAUGAUGGCCAGGCUGUCUCCACCCGAGACUCAGUGAAAUUGAACUCGCUGUGAAGAUGCAGUGUACCCGCGGCAAGACGGAAAGACCCCGUGAACCUUUACUAUAGCUUGACACUGAACAUUGAGCCUUGAUGUGUAG